This 63-nucleotide transfer RNA is filed under the name Sogatella kolophon. RNAcentral's name for it is "tRNA-Glu". Lineage: Eukaryota; Metazoa; Arthropoda; Insecta; Hemiptera; Delphacidae. The record is from RNAcentral.
GUUUAUGUAGUUUAAUAAAAAAACAAGUUAUUUUCAAUAACUAGAAAAGAAGUUUCUUAAAUU